Molecule: long non-coding RNA, 1439 nt
Filed under: Chrysemys picta bellii (western painted turtle)
Lineage: Eukaryota; Metazoa; Chordata; Testudines; Emydidae
Description: lncRNA (ENSCPBG00000023481.1)
Source: RNAcentral
CGAGACCUCGUUUGCUCCCGCAGCCUUUGGGGGAGGCCGCCGCCGAUUGGUUCGCUGCGCGCAGCCAAUAGGAGCGGGCGUUGCUGGCUGGCUGGCGGCGCGGCCUGGCGGAGGGAUGUCGCCGGAGGAGGCGAUGCGCUGGAAGGCGCGCUUUGCCGCCAUGUACGCCCUGGGCACCUGGACCAUCCUGGGCUACUUCGUCUACUGCUACCGCGUGCGACCGCGAGAAGCGGAGGCCGCCCAGGACAGGCAGGGCCCGCCUGAGGCCGCCGCCACCACCGCUGCCGCGCCUGCCUGGGGCGGAGCCGCCUCUUGGGAGGCGGAGUUCGAUGAAGAAAGAACACGUCCAAAUGAAACACCAGCAGAUGAAUUUUUCACGUCAACAGUGAAGUAUAAAAAGAAUCCUGUACCUUCUACAACUGGAUGUAUGAUAAUGUGAAAUCAUUCUUUGCAACCAGUGAUGGCCCUGGUCCAGAAGAGUAACUGAUCCUGAAAAUUAGGAAUUUGAUAUGUAUACAAGAGAAAUGGCUUGCAUCAAGAUGGCUUGCUUGGACGUGAAAAGUCUUUAGUUGAAACACACUCCCUCACUCAUUCACUGUCUUUCUCCUGCCCACAAAAAACAACAAAGCCUAGUAAACCUUUUCAACUGUGUUAAAGACAGUGUUUUUGCAAAACCUAUUACCGGGCUGAAAUAUUAAACAAGUUACAAAUUAUUAAACUUCCUAUAAUUAAAUCUGUAUAGUUUGAAGUUUAUUUUAAUGAUGCUACACCCCAUGUAGUGUCUACUAAAUUAACAUGAUUGCCUCUGUUAGAGCUUUAGCUUUGAUCAGGUAAUAAGAAAUUGCACAGAGUCAGUUUAGAGAUUGUGAAUGUGAGACAAUCUUGGACACCAACUGCUCUUCGAGUAAAGUGAAUUAUAUUUUACGUUGUUGGCUUUUGAGAGAGUCCUCAUGUUAUCUACUUCCAGUCCCAUUUUCCAACUUUAAUCCGUAAAGGAAUAUAGAAAUUCAACUCUUAAAAACAAAAUUAAGUGUCUCAAGUGUACACCACUCAGUAGGAGUAACUCAUCUGUUUCACCUCUUUUCCUAAAGGAGUGAAGUUAAAGGUGUAAAUACUGCCCGAUAUUAACUGCACUCUCACCAAUAGCUAUGUCCGUGUUCAUGACUCAACUGUUCUACCAGGUCACUUUCUUGAAGCAAUUUGUUUAUAUGUAAAGUUGCAUUAGCAAUAAUUUAAAAGUGUGGCUCCCAUCUGAAGAGCACCUCAGUGAGAAUCACACUACUUUACUCCACAGAUCAGUUCACUAUGUGUAUUCAGAGUCACCUCUGUGUGUAUACAGAGUUACUGUACUGAUAAAAUGUAUUUUUAUUUCUCUUAGCAUUGCAGAGACAACACAUAUGGGAGACUGAGCUGGUCUGUUUUCUGGCUGGAACUUCAGG